GACGAACGCUGGCGGCGUGCUUAACACAUGCAAGUCGAGCGGUAAGGCUCCUUCGGGGGUACACGAGCGGCGAACGGGUGAGUAACACGUGAGUAAUCUGCCCUUCACUCUGGGAUAAGCACUCGAAAGGGUGUCUAAUACCGGAUACGACAUAGACCUGCAUGGGUUCUGUGUGGAAACUUUUAUGGGUGGGGGAUGUGCUCGCGGCCUAUCAGCUUGUUGGUGGGGUAAUGGCCUACCAAGGCUUCGACGGGUAGCCGGCCUGAGAGGGCGACCGGCCACACUGGGACUGAGACACGGCCCAGACUCCUACGGGAGGCAGCAGUGGGGAAUAUUGGACAAUGGGCGGAAGCCUGAUCCAGCAACGCCGCGUGGGGGAUGACGGCCUUCGGGUUGUAAACCUCUUUCAGCUCCGACGAAGCUGCUUCUUUUUGGGGUGGUGACGGUAGGUGCAGAAGAAGGACCGGCC
Molecule: ribosomal RNA, 469 nt
Filed under: uncultured bacterium
Lineage: Bacteria
Description: bacterial SSU rRNA
Rfam family: Bacterial small subunit ribosomal RNA
Source: RNAcentral